This 505-nucleotide ribosomal RNA is filed under the name uncultured bacterium. Its description in RNAcentral is "partial 16S ribosomal RNA". It matches the Rfam family "Bacterial small subunit ribosomal RNA", at positions 28 to 507 of the family's 1533-position model. The record is from RNAcentral.
GACGAACACUGGCGGCGUGCCUAAUACAUGCAAGUAGAACGCACAGUUUAUACCGUAGCUUGCUACACCAUAGACUGUGAGUUGCGAACGGGUGAGUAACGCGUAGGUAACCUGCCUGGUAGCGGGGGAUAACUAUUGGAAACGAUAGCUAAUACCGCAUAAUAUUAAUUAUUGCAUGAUAAUUAAUUGAAAGGUGCAAUUGCACCACUACCAGAUGGACCUGCGUUGUAUUAGCUAGUAGGUGAGGUAACGGCUCACCUAGGCGACGAUACAUAGCCGACCUGAGAGGGUGAUCGGCCACACUGGGACUGAGACACGGCCCAGACUCCUACGGGAGGCAGCAGUAGGGAAUCUUCGGCAAUGGACGAAAGUCUGACCGAGCAACGCCGCGUGAGUGAAGAAGGUUUUCGGAUCGUAAAGCUCUGUUGUAAGAGAAGAACGGGUGUGAGAGUGGAAAGUUCACACUGUGACGGUAUCUUACCAGAAAGGGACGGCUAACUACGUG